AACUCUCACAACCCUAUCCACUCACCCCUACCCCUCACCCCCACACACGGUUAGAAAGAAAGAAAGGAAGGAAGGAAGUAAGAAAGGAAGAAAAGAGAAAGAGAGGGAGCAGGGAGAAGAAGAGAGGGAGGUGGCGAUGCCGACGGAGGUGGGUAUUGCCGUCGUUGUCAGAACUGAGAAGGAGAGGGAGGAGACUUUGAGAGAGAGGAAUGUCAUCGAGCCAAACGCGAGAGAGAGAGAGGGGGCCACCGCAAUCCACGGCGCCACUGGAGGGAUUGUCGCACAUCACUCUGCCAUCAAGAUCGCUGCCGUCGUUGUCCAGUGUCGCCGUCGCGUCGCCAUUGAAGAAGAGAGGGAGAAAAGAACACAGGUCAGUGGCCCAAAGGGAGGAGUUACCGCCGUUGCUCCUCACCAUCAUUGCUGUUUGUAGUGACCAGAGGGAGCCGUGGCUGUCCGCACCACUGUCGGAGCUGCUGCUCUAUUCCACCAUUGUCUGCAUGCUCAGAUUGAAUCGUAUGCAAUGCAUAUACAAAUUGAAUCGUUACUUGAAGUAUCAUUGUAAAGCUUUAUUAAUUUGUAUAUAUAUAUAUACACCUUAAUUUGGCUUAUAUUGAAGAAGCUGGCAGACGAAGGGGAGAACAGGCAAUGGAUGGAGGACAUAAGAGGAAAACUAGCUAUGGUAGCCACUGUGAUCGCAACCGUAACCUUCCCAAAUGGGACUGAAUCCAUCGGGAAGUGUUGUCCAGAACGGUGAGCACAGGAAUAAAGAUCGUAAGCUUGAUCCUCAAAUUGAAGAGCAGUUUGGUGGUGGGAGAUUGCUGGCUUGCAUAGCUUCUCGACCUGAUUAAUGUGGCAGGGCUGACGGCUAUAUUUUGGAAAGUAAGGAGCUUGAAUUUUAUAUGAAAAAAAUCCAGAAGAAGGGAAAAGGUGUUACGUUAUUGAUCUAUUCUCAUACUUGUAUUUUGGAUGGGAUGGAAUGGGUCUUAUAAUGACUUUAAUUAUCGACAUGUAAUAUUUUGAUGUGUUGUGUACUUUUUGAAAAGAGACUUUACCCGGUAUUACAUGUAAUGGAUAAAUUACACUCUAUUUUGAUUUAUGUUGUUUGGAUUAAAAACAUAUCUAGCUUAUAAUGAAACUUUUAUGAUUUAGAUUUC
Non-coding RNA from Arachis ipaensis, 1154 nucleotides. The record is from RefSeq and is a predicted model, not a curated record. Lineage: Eukaryota; Viridiplantae; Streptophyta; Magnoliopsida; Fabales; Fabaceae.